RNAcentral lists this ribosomal RNA (959 nucleotides) under Staphylococcus aureus. RNAcentral describes it as "partial 23S ribosomal RNA". It matches the Rfam family "Bacterial large subunit ribosomal RNA", at positions 343 to 1309 of the family's 2925-position model. The record is from RNAcentral. Lineage: Bacteria; Bacillati; Bacillota; Bacilli; Caryophanales; Staphylococcaceae.
UGGAAAGAUGAAUCAAAGAAGGUAAUAAUCCUGUAGUCGAAAAUGUUGUCUCUCUUGAGUGGAUCCUGAGUACGACGGAGCACGUGAAAUUCCGUCGGAAUCUGGGAGGACCAUCUCCUAAGGCUAAAUACUCUCUAGUGACCGAUAGUGAACCAGUACCGUGAGGGAAAGGUGAAAAGCACCCCGGAAGGGGAGUGAAAUAGAACCUGAAACCGUGUGCUUACAAGUAGUCAGAGCCCGUUAAUGGGUGAUGGCGUGCCUUUUGUAGAAUGAACCGGCGAGUUACGAUUUGAUGCAAGGUUAAGCAGUAAAUGUGGAGCCGUAGCGAAAGCGAGUCUGAAUAGGGCGUUUAGUAUUUGGUCGUAGACCCGAAACCAGGUGAUCUACCCUUGGUCAGGUUGAAGUUCAGGUAACACUGAAUGGAGGACCGAACCGACUUACGUUGAAAAGUGAGCGGAUGAACUGAGGGUAGCGGAGAAAUUCCAAUCGAACCUGGAGAUAGCUGGUUCUCUCCGAAAUAGCUUUAGGGCUAGCCUCAAGUGAUGAUUAUUGGAGGUAGAGCACUGUUUGGACGAGGGGCCCCUCUCGGGUUACCGAAUUCAGACAAACUCCGAAUGCCAAUUAAUUUAACUUGGGAGUCAGAACAUGGGUGAUAAGGUCCGUGUUCGAAAGGGAAACAGCCCAGACCACCAGCUAAGGUCCCAAAAUAUAUGUUAAGUGGAAAAGGAUGUGGCGUUGCCCAGACAACUAGGAUGUUGGCUUAGAAGCAGCCAUCAUUUAAAGAGUGCGUAAUAGCUCACUAGUCGAGUGACACUGCGCCGAAAAUGUACCGGGGCUAAACAUAUUACCGAAGCUGUGGAUUGUCCUUUGGACAAUGGUAGGAGAGCGUUCUAAGGGCGUUGAAGCAUGAUCGUAAGGACAUGUGGAGCGCUUAGAAGUGAGAAUGCCGGUGUGAGUAG